This 253-nucleotide ribosomal RNA is filed under the name uncultured bacterium. RNAcentral describes it as "partial 16S ribosomal RNA". It matches the Rfam family "Bacterial small subunit ribosomal RNA", at positions 524 to 776 of the family's 1533-position model. The record is from RNAcentral.
GACAGAGGGUGCAACCGUUGUUCGGAAUUACUGGGCGUAAAGCGCGUGUAGGCGGUCUGAAAAGUCGGAUGUGAAAGCCCCGGGCUCAACCCGGGAAGUGCAUUCGAAACUGCCAGGCUAGAGUGUCGGAGAGGUUGGUGGAAUUCUCGGUGUAGAGGUGAAAUUCGUAGAUAUCGGGAGGAACACCGGUGGCGAAGGCGGCGACCUGGGUCGAGACUGACGCUGAGGCGCGAAAGCGUGGGGAGCAAACAGG